ACUCUAAGCGGUGGAUCACUCGGCUCAUGGGUCGAUGAAGAACGCAGCAAACUGUGCGUCAUCGUGUGAACUGCAGGACACAUGAACAUCGACAUUUUGAACGCAUAUCGCAGUCCAUGCUGUUAUGUACUUUAAUUAAUUUUAUAGUGCUGCUUGGACUACAUAUGGUUGAGGGUUGUAAGACUAUGCUAAUUAAGUUGCUUAUAAAUUUUUAUAAGCAUAUGGUAUAUUAUUGGAUAAAUAUAAUAAUUUUUAUUCAUAAUAUUAAAAAAUAAAUGAAAAACAUUAUCUCACAUUUGAAUGUGAAAAACGAAGAGAAAUAUUUUCUUUUUCAAUCAAAUAAUACUGAGAAAUGUCUAGCAUAAAAAAUUGAAAUAUUUUUCAUCUAGAAUUGUCUCUUAUUAAUGAUUCGGAAAUAGAAAAAUCUUGGUUAUGUUAUUAUUCUUCGUUGGUUCGUUAAAAAUGGAUAAAUAAAAACUUUGCAUACAAGAAUUAAUAAAAAUGUUAUAACGAAUUUAAUUAAAUGUUUUAUCAUUAUAUAUAAAGAAUUUAUGGCAAGAUAAAGUUAUAUACAACCUCAACUCAUAUGGGACUACCCCCUGAAUUUAAGCAUAUUAAUUAGGGGAGGAAAAGAAACUAACAAGGAUUUUCUUAGUAGCGGCGAGCGAAAAGAAAACAGUUCAGCACUAAGUCACUUUGUCUAUAUGGCAAAUGUGAGAUGCAGUGUAUGGAGCGUCAAUAUUCUAGUAUGAGAAAUUAACGAUUUAAGUCCUUCUUAAAUGAGGCCAUUUACCCAUAGAGGGUGCCAGGCCCGUAUAACGUUAAUGAUUACUAGAUGAUGUUUCCAAAGAGUCGUGUUGCUUGAUAGUGCAGCACUAAGUGGGUGGUAAACUCCAUCUAAAACUAAAUAUAACCAUGAGACCGAUAGUAAACAAGUACCGUGAGGGAAAGUUGAAAAGAACUCUGAAUAGAGAGUUAAACAGUACGUGAAACUGCUUAGAGGUUAAGCCCGAUGAACCUGAAUAUCCGUUAUGGAAAAUUCAUCAUUAAAAUUGUAAUAUUUAAAUAAUAUUAUGAGAAUAGUGUGCAUUUUUUCCAUAUAAGGACAUUGUAAUCUAUUAGCAUAUACCAAAUUUAUCAUAAAAUAUAACUUAUAGUUUAUUCCAAUUAAAUUGCUUGCAUUUUAACACAGAAUAAAUGUUAUUAAUUUGAUAAAGUGCUGAUAGAUUUAUAUGAUUACAGUGCGUUAAUUUUUCGGAAUUAUAUAAUGGCAUAAUUAUCAUUGAUUUUUGUGUUUAUUAUAUGCACUUGUAUGAUUAACAAUGCGAAAGAUUCAGGAUACCUUCGGGACCCGUCUUGAAACACGGACCAAGGAGUCUAACAUAUGUGCAAGUUAUUGGGAUAUAAACCUAAUAGCGUAAUUAACUUGACUAAUAAUGGGAUUAGUUUUUUAGCUAUUUAUAGCUAAUUAACACAAUCCCGGGGCGUUCUAUAUAGUUAUGUAUAAUGUAUAUUUAUAUUAUUUAUGCCUCUAACUGGAACGUACCUUGAGCAUAUAUGCUGUGACCCGAAAGAUGGUGAACUAUACUUGAUCAGGUUGAAGUCAGGGGAAACCCUGAUGGAAGACCGAAACAGUUCUGACGUGCAAAUCGAUUGUCAGAAUUGAGUAUAGGGGCGAAAGACCAAUCGAACCAUCUAGUAGCUGGUUCCUUCCGAAGUUUCCCUCAGGAUAGCUGGUGCAUUUUAAUAUUAUAUAAAAUAAUCUUAUCUGGUAAAGCGAAUGAUUAGAGGCCUUAGGGUCGAAACGAUCUUAACCUAUUCUCAAACUUUAAAUGGGUAAGAACCUUAACUUUCUUGAUAUGAAGUUCAAGGUUAUGAUAUAAUGUGCCCAGUGGGCCACUUUUGGUAAGCAGAACUGGCGCUGUGGGAUGAACCAAACGUAAUGUUACGGUGCCCAAAUUAACAACUCAUGCAGAUACCAUGAAAGGCGUUGGUUGCUUAAAACAGCAGGACGGUGAUCAUGGAAGUCGAAAUCCGCUAAGGAGUGUGUAACAACUCACCUGCCGAAGCAACUAGCCCUUAAAAUGGAUGGCGCUUAAGUUGUAUACCUAUACAUUACCGCUAAAGUAGAUGAUUUAUAUUACUUGUGAUAUAAAUUUUGAAACUUUAGUGAGUAGGAAGGUACAAUGGUAUGCGUAGAAGUGUUUGGCGUAAGCCUGCAUGGAGCUGCCAUUGGUACAGAUCUUGGUGGUAGUAGCAAAUAAUCGAAUGAGACCUUGGAGGACUGAAGUGGAGAAGGGUUUCGUGUGAACAGUGGUUGAUCACGAGUUAGUCGGUCCUAAGUUCAAGGCGAAAGCCGAAAAUUUUCAAGUAAAACAAAAAUGCCUAACUAUAUAAACAAAGCGAAUUAUAAUACACUUGAAUAAUUUUGAACGAAAGGGAAUACGGUUCCAAUUCCGUAACCUGUUGAGUAUCCGUUUGUUAUUAAAUAUGGGCCUCGUGCUCAUCCUGGCAACAGGAACGACCAUAAAGAAGCCGUCGAGAGAUAUCGGAAGAGUUUUCUUUUCUGUUUUAUAGCCGUACUACCAUGGAAGUCUUUCGCAGAGAGAUAUGGUAGAUGGGCUAGAAGAGCAUGACAUAUACUGUUGUGUCGAUAUUUUCUCCUCGGACCUUGAAAAUUUAUGGUGGGGACACGCAAACUUCUCAACAGGCCGUACCAAUAUCCGCAGCUGGUCUCCAAGGUGAAGAGUCUCUAGUCGAUAGAAUAAUGUAGGUAAGGGAAGUCGGCAAAUUAGAUCCGUAACUUCGGGAUAAGGAUUGGCUCUGAAGAUUGAGAUAGUCGGGCUUGAUUGGGAAACAAUAACAUGGUUUAUGUGCUCGUUCUGGGUAAAUAGAGUUUCUAGCAUUUAUGUUAGUUACUUGUUCCCCGGAUAGUUUAGUUACGUAGCCAAUUGUGGAACUUUCUUGCUAAAAUUUUUAAGAAUACUAUUUGGGUUAAACCAAUUAGUUCUUAUUAAUUAUAACGAUUAUCAAUUAACAAUCAAUUCAGAACUGGCACGGACUUGGGGAAUCCGACUGUCUAAUUAAAACAAAGCAUUGUGAUGGCCCUAGCGGGUGUUGACACAAUGUGAUUUCUGCCCAGUGCUCUGAAUGUCAAAGUGAAGAAAUUCAAGUAAGCGCGGGUCAACGGCGGGAGUAACUAUGACUCUCUUAAGGUAGCCAAAUGCCUCGGUCAUCUAAUUAGUGACGCGCAUGAAUGGGAUUAACGAGAUUCCUACUGUC
Molecule: ribosomal RNA, 3282 nt
Filed under: Drosophila melanogaster (fruit fly)
Lineage: Eukaryota; Metazoa; Arthropoda; Insecta; Diptera; Drosophilidae
Description: eukaryotic LSU rRNA
Rfam family: Eukaryotic large subunit ribosomal RNA (bases 573-3282)
Source: RNAcentral